Molecule: ribosomal RNA, 490 nt
Filed under: uncultured bacterium
Lineage: Bacteria
Description: bacterial SSU rRNA
Rfam family: Bacterial small subunit ribosomal RNA
Source: RNAcentral
AUUGAACGCUGGCGGCAUGCUUUACACAUGCAAGUCGAACGGUAACAGGUCUAGCUUGCUAGAUGCUGACGAGUGGCGGACGGGUGAGUAACGCGUGGGAAUCUGCCUUCUAGUGGGGGAUAGCCCGGAGAAAUCCGGAUUAAUACCGCAUACGCCCUACGGGGGAAAGCCGGGGAUCUUCGGACCUGGCGCUAGUAGAUGAGCCCGCGUGAGAUUAGCUUGUUGGUGGGGUAAUGGCCUACCAAGGCAACGAUCUCUAGCUGGUCUGAGAGGACGAUCAGCCACACUGGGACUGAGACACGGCCCAGACUCCUACGGGAGGCAGCAGUGGGGAAUAUUGGACAAUGGGCGAAAGCCUGAUCCAGCAAUGCCGCGUGUGUGAAGAAGGCCUGAGGGUUGUAAAGCACUUUCAAUCGUGAAGAAAAGUUAGCAGGCUAAUACCCUCGUGACCUUGACGUUAACGAUACAAGAAGCACCGGCUAACUCCGUG